GGAAACAAGAUUUUCUUGCUUUUAAAUUUUUUUUAAAACUUAUUUCCAUUUUUUCUUCGUCUUCUUCUUCCUAUUUCUUCUUCCCGUAGCCACACAGAGCCAAGACCUUUACCUCAAGCAUCAAUGGCUUCUGAGUUCCCUCCAAACUUUGUUCGGGUUAUUGGAUCUAUGAAGGAAUGAAGUAAGCAUUGAGGUUAUGAGGUUGAAUCUUUUCUUCUGUUAAGGUAUGAAUAUAUUUCUAAUUUUUUUUUGGAUUAGGGUUUGUAGUUUGUAACAUUGUUUAUUCGAUUAUUGUCUAUUGUUGAUUUGAUACAUGGUUAUUCACCAGUUGUUUCAUGAUUAUCUUUUAUCAUUUUAUUAUGGUUAUCUGAUUGUUGAAUCUCAUUGUCAAAAUUGAGACCUUACCAGGUAUUGAAUUUGUUUGUGGUGUAUUUAAUAAAAUUUCAGAGAGGGCUUCCUUCUUAUUUUGACCUUUUGUAAUUUUGUUUCCACCUAAGCAUUGGAGAAAAUGGGGGUUUAGAUUUUACUUUAUGAGAAUGAAUUGAAAUAUUAACUUUUGUUCAUACAUUAGCUUUUUUUGUCGAAUUACAGUGAAUUGAAAUGGGGGUUAAUUGUGAAGCUAUUACUCUGAAUUUUGGCCACUGUUUGAUAAAAACUCAGGUAGACAUAUUCAUACACUAGCUUGGCUUGUUUGAUUACAAGGAAUUGAAAUGUCUUUUAUCCAUUGUUAAUUACAUAUUUUAUUAGUUGAUUUUGAUGUUCCGGUCAUGGUUACUUUAUGGAUGAUAUUUUAAUUGACUGAUUUUGAAGCUAUUGCUCUGAAUUUUGGUCACUGUUUGAUAAAAAAUCCAGACAGGCAUGUUCAUGCUCUAACUUAGCUCUGCUUAUUUUGCUUUGAAUGCCAUUUCUCUAUGCUAAUGCUCUUAAUCAGAACAAAUGAGUAGAAUGACAUUUGAUAAAUUAAAUACCUCUCCAAACAAGAUCUUUUCAUAUUUAUUGUAGUAGCUGGCUUCAUUGGUUUCCUUGCAUUGUCUCCAAAAAGAAAGUGUGUCAAUAGUUGUCAAGGUCAUAUCUUAUUUGAUACAUAGAUUUUAUUGUCCUUUCUUUUUUUCAAGUUUCUGCUUAGUGCUUUUAUUUUAGCUGACCCUAGACCUUAAAGCACUUUCUGUCUUUGAUUUAUAAAAUAUAUGAGCAUUGAUUGUCGUCAAUUCAUCAUUGAUCUUUUCUAGAUCAAGUCUCUAUUAAGUUCAAGUCUAGAUCUUUUUGCUUGUCUAAGCAUUAUGAGAAUAAACUACUUUGCUGAAAGAGCUUAUAUCUAUUGGAUUGGCCUUGAGUGGAGAUCAGAAACUGGGGGCAGUUUUAUGAAUUUAAUGGUAAUAAGUCCAUUUUGAAAAAGUAGUCUGGGUGAUAAAUUGGAGAACCCAUUUUGGAAAUACUUUUACAUUUUAGUUUGACAAGUACAUAUUCGUUGUUUAUUUUGAGAUAACUGUGUGAUGAAGUAAGUUAAGUUAGGAUGAUAGUUUUGAAACCACUGUAAUUAUGAAUGUGGAGUUGUUCUAAAACUUUUGCUGCAUGCACUUUAUCUUUUGGUGGAUGCAUUCAAGAUAGAUUUUAUUUAUUAUUGAAUUUGAUUUUGUAGCUACUUUAGUUUACUAUGGUUUUAUAUGUUAUGUAGCUAUGUGAGUCGUCUACUCUAAAUAUUACUAAUCCAACUUUUUUAAGUUGCUUUUUUCAAAGAAUUGAGGUUGAUGAUGUUGUAUACCUUCAGCUAAAGCAUCUUAUAUAAGCCAAAUUGGAGAAGCUAAAGCAUCUUAUAUAAGCCAAAUUGGAGAAGGUGAGUUAGUGGGCAGUAGUAAAAUACCAUCAUGUUCACUAUAGAGUAGCAUAAGUUAAAGCAGAAUAAAACAUUUUAAUGUGACAUUUUCCAGGAAAAAUAACUACAAUAAUGGACAGUAAGUCAUUGAGCGGUGUUGAAGGCUCGCUUUCCAAUCAUAAAGCAAAUGCCUUUAUAUGAUCUAAGAAUACAAAAGUACAUUGUCAUUGCUUGCUGUGGGAUUCACAAUUUUAUAAGGACAAAUGUAGAAGCAGAUUUAUAUUUUGAUGGCGGUGAAGGAAAUUCUGAAGUACAGGCCACUACUUUACAAAGCACGAUGGAACUUUGACUGAUAGUGUAGAGUUCAGUAUUUCUAGAACUCAUAUACGUGAAAUGGCUCAUGUUCGUGAUGAAAUUGCUGACCAUAUAUGGAGAGCUAGUCGACGAUAGUGAGAUUGAGUAAAGACAUUAGUUGAUUCUUAUGACUCGUUUAAUACUUUAUUUUAAGUUUGGAUAAUUAUCACUUCAUUUGUUUUUAUUUUACUAUGUAAACUUUUUUGAUUUUGUGUUAUCUCGUGGAUAGAUAUUAAGUUUUGAAAUUUGAGAUUA
Long non-coding RNA from Humulus lupulus (European hop), 2422 nucleotides. RefSeq lists it as uncharacterized. NCBI's taxonomy places the organism in Eukaryota, Viridiplantae, Streptophyta, Magnoliopsida, Rosales, Cannabaceae. The transcript has 3 exons. The record is from RefSeq and is a predicted model, not a curated record.